RNAcentral lists this ribosomal RNA (469 nucleotides) under uncultured bacterium. RNAcentral describes it as "bacterial SSU rRNA". It matches the Rfam family "Bacterial small subunit ribosomal RNA", at positions 28 to 507 of the family's 1533-position model. The record is from RNAcentral.
GAUGAACGCUGGCGGCGUGCUUAACACAUGCAAGUCGAACGGAUUUAACAGAAAGCUUGCUUUCGGUUAAAUUAGUGGCGGACGGGUGAGUAACGCGUGGAUAACCUGCCGUAUACAGGGGGAUAACACUUAGAAAUAGGUGCUAAUACCGCAUAAGCGCACAGUUUCGCAUGAGACAGUGUGAAAAACUCCGGUGGUAUACGAUGGAUCCGCGUCUGAUUAGGUAGUUGGUGGGGUAACGGCCCACCAAGCCGACGAUCAGUAGCCGGCCUGAGAGGGUGAACGGCCACAUUGGGACUGAGACACGGCCCAAACUCCUACGGGAGGCAGCAGUGGGGAAUAUUGCACAAUGGGGGAAACCCUGAUGCAGCGACGCCGCGUGAGUGAAGAAGUAUUUCGGUACGUAAAGCUCUAUCAGCAAGGAAGAAAAAAGACGGUACUUGACUAAGAAGCCCCGGCUAACUACGUG